Long non-coding RNA from Oryctolagus cuniculus (rabbit), 7745 nucleotides. RefSeq lists it as uncharacterized. The record is from RefSeq and is a predicted model, not a curated record. Lineage: Eukaryota; Metazoa; Chordata; Mammalia; Lagomorpha; Leporidae.
UCUGCUGCUGGUGGGACUCAGCUCAGGCCCGGCCAAUACAGCCGCUCCUAGCUCCGCCCCUGACGAGGUUCUCAACUGCCCAGAGGGUUGGCAAUGUUUCUGAUGAAAAUCCACUGGGUACUCACUGGAUGAGAAAGUUACAAUGAAAUGUUGUUUCACUCAGACUCCCUGGAGACACAAAAUCUCUCCCACAACACUAGGUUACUGAGAGGAAGAAAGUAAAGGAGGGGGUGAGUUGGUGGCUCACAUCACAGAAUAACCAAAACUUGAGAUGGAUGGAGAUGGCAGCAAGAAAGGACUACAGAGCUAAGUAGCGUGAGUCUGGCCGACAGUGACAAGUGCACAAGGAGAUCCAGCUCUCUGCUAUGGCCUGGGAAAUCAGUACAAGAUGGCCCAAGUCAUUAGGCCCCUGCACCUGCGUGGGAGACCUGGAAGAAGCUCCUGGCUUCAGAUCGGCACAGCUCCGGCCAUUGGGGAGUAAACCAUCAAUGGAAGACCCCUCCCUCCCUCCCUCCCUCUCUCUCUCUCUCUCUCUGCCUCUCCUUCUCUCUCUAUGUUAUGCUAGCUUUCAAGUAAAUAAAUCAAUCUUAAAAAAAAAAUAAAAUAAAAACUGCCUCAGCGAGCUAAGUAGUCCCUUCCUCCUUGUGAGGAUGCAGUGAGAGGGUGCCAUCUUCGAGAAAGCAGGCUUUGCCAGACACCAAACCUGCCGGCAACUCAAUCUUGGGAGAAAUACAUGGCUGUCCUUUAUAAGCCAUUGCAGAAGCCUCAAAAGGCUAAUAUAUAUGGUUGUGGUCUAGCGGUUCCAGACUUGCAUCUAUCACCUACAUUUGCCCUUCUGGGAAGGCAGUGAGUGUGUGUAUGUGUGUGUGUGAUUGUGGGGGGGGGGGGUUACACACAUUUCCACCUCUCCCCAGUAGCAGCUUCCGAUUGGACUUCUCAUCGCCAAACAGGUUUUCCUGAAGAUCACGUUCUCACUGACAUUCCUGGGCGCUGCCUCCACUCCUCCAGCACACGAAAUUCAUGCUAAGGUCACCAGUGAUCUUCUUGGAGAGACUUUUUAGUCCUGUUUUUCUCAAUCCCAUGGUCACUCCCUCUUGUUGAAAAACCCUCUCUCUUCCUUUAGGUUUGGUGACUUCAUACUCUCCUUGUGUUCCUCCUGCUCUCUGGCCACUACUGGGUACCUUUCCCUGACUUCUGCUUCUCUUCUUUAUUUUAGGGUUUCUUAGAGCUCUAUCCUCUACUCUCUUCUUCUUUGCCUCUCUCUUCUAGGAAGUCUUCCUCAUCUCCAUGGCUUCACCUUACCAUUUUGAUUUUGACUCCCAAGUUUAAACUUCCUGCCAAAUGCCUACUGGCCAUUUUCACUUGAAUGUCUUAGUGAUCGCCUCAAGCUAUUCAUGUCCAAAUCCUCAGCCAGUAAUGUUCCCCUCCUGCUAUGGUUCCAAAGUAGCUCCAAAAGCUCAGGUGUUGAUAACUUAAUCCACAAAUUCAGAUGUUAAUGAUAUUUGAAGGUGAGGCCUUUGAGAGGUAAUUAGGAGUAGAUGAAGUCAAAAGGCUGGAGCCCCCACGAUGGCAUGCUUGCUCUGCCUGGCCACGUGACACUCCCCACAUGUUACAACAUAGCAAAAACAUCCUCACCAAAUGCCAAGUAGAUGCUGGCACCCUGCUCUUGGACUUCCCAGCCUCCUGAACUACGAGCCAGAUAAGCUUUCAUUAUUUAUAAACUACGCAGUCUCAGGUAUUUUGUUACAGCGAUAGGAAAUGAAUUAACAUAUUUGCUCAGAAAACGGUGGUUCUGCUGACCAGCUUGUUUAAAAUAAGAAUCUGGGAGGCACCCUCAGCACCUACCUCACUGUCACCUCUUGCAUCCUAUCAAUCAUCAAGAUUUUUCAUUCUGUGUCCUCUGUAUCUUUUGAAUCCUCUGCUUCUCUCCAUCCCAACUGCCACCAACCUGGCCAGAGCACACUUGUCAUCUGGCUUUUGCAAUGUCCUUCUAAUUGGUCCCCUCAUAUCAUCUCUCAUCCCCCCACUGAAUUCUUUUAUCUACUGCAGCCUAAGUAAUUCUUACAAAUAUAAAAAAACAUCUCGCCACUCUCCUUCCAUGGUCCCCAUUCUCCCCUCCUCUCCUCUUGGUCUAGCGCUUACUUCAUCUAUUCCCAUAAUAUUAGAUUUAUUUUAAUCCCUCAAAAUGAAAUGUUGACCUGCCUGAAGCCUUAGGCUAUGUUCUCCUUCUGUCUGAAAUGCUCAUUCCACUCCCACUGACCCGAAACAGCUAAUCCCUAUUCAUCCUUAUGGUCUGCCUCAAACAUUGCAUCCUAAGGAAACCUUCCCUGACCAUCUGGAUGGACUAUGCCUCCUUUUAAUAAUUCCCAUUGCACUGUGCAGUCCUCCUCCAUAGCACAUUGCACACUGGAAGUUAAUUAAUAGCCCAUUUGGUUUAAUGCCAGCCUUCCUCUCAUGGCCAAGUUCCAGAAUUCCAGGGCCCAUGCAUGUUUGACUACUGCUGAGGUCUCAGUUCCUAGCAUAGUAUCCAGCUGCUAGAAGAACAAGGCUCUCUGAACAUGCCAACCAGUGACUGCCCCCAAUGCUUUCAUCAAGCCAUUUGUGCAGAAUUGAAAACACCCUGUUUAAUCCUCCUGUAUUGUCUAUUACUAUUAUAACAAAUUACCAUAAAUUUAGUGGCUUAAAGUAACAUAAACUUAUUCUCUUACAGUCUGCAGAUUAGAAGUCCUAAAGAUUGGAUUGAGAUGGCAGAGUAGGGAAGGAGCUUGCUGCUCUUGUCUACAAGAAGAUAGUUUUUAAAAAGCAGAAAGAGUAUAGUCUCAGGGAAGAGUUAGGGAGAAAACAGCAGAGGAAACUCCAUGCAAAUUGGAGAGAUACAGUGGACCUACAUGGAGGGCACAGUCAUGCACAACUCAGGACCUCAGCAGCCGAGAGCCUCAGAACCAGUGUUGCAGAGUGAGCUGAGAUCAGACUGCCACUGGCAAAAAAGCUGCAGGAAGAACCUAGAGAGAAGAUGGCUUGGAGCCCUGAAGGGGAUAGUCUACCUGUCAAACUAGAGGACAAAAAACAAAGGGAGGCACAUUUCUCUCUCCACAAUCACCCUACAAUGGCAUCCAGCAACAACAGAUAGAGAGCAGAUACCAUUUUGGACACAUGUAACAGCUAUGCCAGCAACCAGCCAAGUGGAGACUCUUGACUCUGGUGGGGAGAACAGACAGGGGGCUGGGUGCUCAUGACUGUGGGAGGCUUGUGUGCCAGGACUGUGAAAACACUGAGGCUGUGUGGGAGUUCUCAGGGUGUGGCUGGGACUUUGGGCAGUCACUGUGGGAGGCUCAACAGAAUCAGGGCUCCCUGGUUACCUGGUGAGGAACAUUGCUGGGGAAUCUGUGCUUACACUGAUGACUGCACAGAUGAGAAUUACAAAACAUUAAAGAAAGUAAUAUAAGAAGAUACAAAAAAAUGGAAAAAUUUUCCAUGUUAAUGGAUUGGAAGAGUCAAUAUCAUCAAAAUGUCCAUUCUUCUGAAAGCAAUUUACAGAUUCAAUGUGAUACCAAUCAAAAUACCAAAGACAUUCUUCUCAGAUCUAGAAAAAAUGAUGCUGAAAUUCAUAUGGAAACACCAGAGACUUUGAAUAGCUAAAGCAAUUUUAUACAACAAAAACAAAGCCAAAGGCUUCACAAUGCCAGAUUUCAAGACAUACUACAGGGCAGUUAGAAUCAAACAGCCUGGUACUGGUAUAAAAACAGAUAAAUAGAUCAAAUGAAUGGAAUAGAAAUGCCAGAAAUCAAUCCAAGCAUCUACAACCAACUUAUAUUUGACCAAAGAGCUAAAACCAAUCCCUGGAGCAAGGACAAUCUCUUUAACAAAUGGUGCUGGGAAAACUGGAUUUCCACAUGUGGAAGUAUGAAGCAGAACUUUACCCUACACCUUAAACAAAAUCCAUUCAAAAUGGAUUCAAGACCUCAAUCUAUGAUUGGAUACCAUAAAAUUAUUAGAGGGCAUUGGGGAAAACCUGCAAGAAAAUUGCACAGGGAAGAAUCCUUGGAAAAGACCCCAAAGGCACAGGCAGUCAAAGCCAAAAUUAAUAAAUAGGAUUACAUCAAAUUGACAAGCUUCUGUACUGCAAAAGAAACACUCAGCAAAGUGAAGAGGAAACUGACAGAAUGGGUGAAAUUUGGAACUAUGCAACUGAAAAAGGAUUAAUAACCAGAAUCUAUAAAGAGAUCGAGAAACUCCACAACAACAAAACAAACAACCCAAUUAUGAAACGGGCACAGGACUUAAGCAUUUUUCAAAAGAGGAGACUGAAAUGGCCAACACACAUGAAAAAAUGUUCAAGAUCAUGAGCCAUCAAGGAAAUGCAAAUCAAAGCCACAAUGAGGUUUCACCUAACCCCAGUUAGAAUGGCUUUCCUACAGAAAUCAACAAACAAUAAAUGCUGGCGAGGAUAUGGGGGAAAAGGUACCCUAAUCCACUGUUGGUGGGAAUGUACACUGGUAAAACCACUAUGUAAGACAUUAUGGAGAUACCUCAGAAAUCUGAAUAUAGACCUACCAUAUGACCCAGCCACCCCACUCCUGGAAAUUUACCCAAGGGAAAUUAAAUCGCAAAUAAAAGAGUUAUCUACACCCCAUGUUUAUUGCAGCUCAAUUCACAAUAGCUAAGACAUGGAAUCAACCUAAAUGCCCGUCAGCUGAAGAAAUCAUAGGAUAUGUACUCUAUGAAAUACUACACAGUUUUUUAAAAAAUGAAAUCCAGUUAUUUGCAUCAAAGUGGAUGAAUCUGGAAAACAUCAGUUAGUGAAAUAAGCCAGUCCCAAAGGAACAAAUACUAUAUGUUCUCCCUGAUCUGUGAGAACUAAUAGAGUCCCUAAAAGGAAAUUUGUAGAAGUGAAGUUGACACUUUGAGAAGCAAUGAGCUGAACAACCCUUGUCUUGACUGUCCAAUUUCUGCCACUGUCACAGCUUCUCUGAAUCUUAUCAACCUGUCUGCCUCAUAUAAGAGUGUCUGUGAUUAUAUUAGGCCCAUUUAGAUAAUCUAAGAUAAUCUACUUAUGUUUAAUAUUCUUAAUCAUAAUGACAAAAAUAUUUUUUAAGAAAAGAAACUGUGGUUGAAUGUUUUUAGGUACAUUUAUGAAUUGUAGGCCAAAGUUCAGAAAGGACACAACUCCAUCUUUGGCAAAAAGGGCUUCAUAAUAGAAAUAAUUUGCCUUUUAAAUAUUUGAUUUAGUGCACAUGCAUACUCUUAAGACUGAGAUAUCCUGAUCCUCAAAGUGCUUUCAAUGGGGGUGGGUGUACAAGUCCUGGCUACUCUGUGCUUUUUUUUUUUUUUUUUUUUGACAGACGGAGUGGACAGUGAGAGAGAGAGACAGAGAGAAAGGUCUUCCUUUGCUGUUGGUUCACCCGCCAAUGGCCACUGCAGCUGGCGCACCACACUGAUCCGAAGCCAGGAGCCAGGUGCCUCCCCCGGUCUCCCAUGCGGGUGCAGGGCCCAAGCACCUGGGCCAUCCUCCACUGCACUCCUGGGCCACAACAGAGAGCUGGACUGGAAGAGAGGCAACCGGGACAGAAUCCGGCACCCUGACCGGGACUAGAACCCGGGGUGCUGGCGCUGCUAGGUGGAGGAUUAGCCGAGUGAGCCUCGGUGCCAGCCUACUCUGUGUUUCUGAUUUAGCUUCCUGCCAAUCUGCCUGGGAGGCAGCAGAUGACGGCUCAAGUACUUGGAACCCUGCCACCCAUGUGGAAGACUUGGAUGGAGUUUCUGGUUCCUGGCUUCAGCCUUGUCCAGCCCAGCUGUUGUGGGGAUUUGGGGAGUGAACCAACAGAUGGAAGAUCUCUCUCUCUCCCUCUCUCUCUCUCCUCUUUCUCUGCCUCCUCUCUCUUUCCUCCUCUCUCCCUCCCCCCAUCUCUGUCACUCUGCCUUUCAAAUAAAUAAAUAAAUCGUAAAAAAAAGUGCUACCAAUGGAUCACUACAUACAUGCAUUUCAGGGCUCAGGUGGGUAGAAGCAUUCAGCCCUGUAGACCUUGUCUUGCAUAUUACAACUGCCAUUACACACUCUUCUCACUGUUAUGGAAAUCAAAUAGAAGACAUCACUUCUGGCAGCACUGAAUGUACCAACUCUGAUGGAAUUAUUCCCAAUGGGCAAAAUCUAGAUAUUUAUGGAAGCAAAGACAAAUGUGUCUUUCUUUCAUUUAUUCUUCUUGAAGUACCUAGCUUUCAAUUCUUUAAGCCUUGCUCCCAUUUAGAUGUUAUGACAUUAUGAGUAUUCUGUUUUUAUCCCAAAUCAUGAUUACCUGUGAAAAACUUCCAGGGGCGAGAUGGAAGUGAAAACAUUUUUCUAUGCUCUUCUUACUUUUAUUGAUUAAAAUGCAAAUAUCACUUCCAAGGAAAGCUCUAUGCAGACUGUUGCAAAUCCUCUAACCAUGAGAGAUGGCCACAUCUACAGUAUAAUCUAGUCAUGACCUUUCAGAGCUUGGAGGCAAUAGGAAUCAGCUGGUCCACUGCAUUUUGUAGAUGAGAAAGCAAAAACCUUGACAAUGGAGUAAAUCAUCCAAAGACAUACAGGUCAGGGCUGUUGACAGCUUCAUAAGAUCAUAAAAAGUAUCAAGCAAGAGUCUACAUAUCCAGCAGGUAACAGUCAUAGCUACAGCUUCCAUAUUAGAAAUGUACUGUUGGGGAGGGCAUUUGGCAUUGUGAUUAAGAUGCUGCUUGGAACCCUCGCAUUCCAAAUCAGAGUACCUGAGUUUGAGUCCUGGCUCCAUUGCCAAUCUAGCUUCCUGCGGGUGUGCAUCUCACGAGGCUGCAUGACGGCUCGAGUACUUGGGUCCCUGCUACCCAUGCAGGAGACCCAGAUUGAGUUUUGGGCUCCUAGGUUUAGAGUGGCCCAGCCCUGGUUGUUGUGGCCAUUGUUGUGGGUAUUGUGGGGAGCAACCCAGACUGGACUGAGUUACUGGAAUUAAGACUUAUUCUAUGCAUCUGCUCUCCCACAAUAUGGCGCUGGGAGAGAAGAAAACAGCUUCCACACAGCUGCCUCCAGUUCAGCCAAUAAACUGUAGGACUUGCUCCUGAUUGGAGGAGAGCAGCGUACUCGGCGUGUGGGCAGCCGAGUUAGGAUUGGCGGAGGAGGACUAUAAAGGAGGAGAGAGACGGCAUGCACCGGGAACAUGUAAGGGGAACAUCUAAGGGAACACCUGUGCAGCCCCCGAGAGAGCCGGCCGGCGGUGUGCUGCUCCCCUGUGGAAGUGGGGAAUGUGGCCAGGGGGAACUGCCCUUCCACGGAGGUGGAAGGGAUAGUAGCCAACCCGGGAAGAACCAGCAGCAAACCCGGGGAGGGCCGAGCAGACGAAAGAACAGCGCAGGGUCCUGUGUCGUUCCUCCACGAAGAGGGGGAGCAACAGGUAUUUAGAGAGUAAGCCAGUGGAUGGAAGAUUUCUCUCUUUUUCCUCAUCUCUCUGCCUUUCAUAUAAAAAGAAACAGUUAAUUAAUUUUAAAAAGAAACAUACUCUUCAAUGUUUUCAGGUUUUGUAAUAAUUCAACCUGAGAGGUCAAAUUUUACUUGAAAGCCUCUAGGAAAUAAAAGCUUACUAAGCAAAUAGUAGUGGAAAAAAGAUUAUAGAAUAUACAGUUUAUUUCUUUUUUUAAAAUAUUUUAUUUAUUUGAGAGAGAGAGCUACAGAGAAAGGGAGAGACAGAAAGAAAGGUUUUCCAUCUGCUGGUUCACUCCCCAUAUGGCCACAGUGGCUGGAG